RNAcentral lists this ribosomal RNA (377 nucleotides) under uncultured bacterium. RNAcentral describes it as "bacterial SSU rRNA". It matches the Rfam family "Bacterial small subunit ribosomal RNA", at positions 524 to 898 of the family's 1533-position model. The record is from RNAcentral.
UACGUAGGGUGCAAGCAUUGUCCGGAUUUAUUGGGCGUAAAGAGCUCGUAGGCAGCUCGGCGCGUCGGAUGUGAAAACACGCAACUUAACUGCGUGCCUGCAUUCGAUACGGCCGAGCUAGAGGAUGGCAGGGGAAACUGGAAUUCCUGGUGUAGCGGUGGAAUGCGCAGAUAUCAGGAGGAACACCGGUGGCGAAGGCGGGUUUCUGGGCCAUUACUGACGCUGAGGAGCGAAAGCGUGGGGAGCGAACAGGAUUAGAUACCCUGGUAGUCCACGCCGUAAACGAUGGGCACUAGAUGUAGGGAGCAUUCCACGCUCUCUGUGUCGUAGCUAACGCAUUAAGUGCCCCGCCUGGGGAGUACGGCCGCAAGGCUAAA